AUUGAACGCUGGCGGCAGGCUUAACACAUGCAAGUCGAGCGGGGUGAUGGUGCUUGCACUAUCACUUAGCGGCGGACGGGUGAGUAAUGCUUAGGAAUCUGCCUAUUAGUGGGGGACAACAUCUCGAAAGGGAUGCUAAUACCGCAUACGUCCUACGGGAGAAAGCAGGGGAUCACUUGUGACCUUGCGCUAAUAGAUGAGCCUAAGUCGGAUUAGCGAGUUGGUGGGGUAAAGGCCCACCAAGGCGACGAUCUGUAGCGGGUCUGAGAGGAUGAUCCGCCACACUGGGACUGAGACACGGCCCAGACUCCUACGGGAGGCAGCAGUGGGGAAUAUUGGACAAUGGGGGGAACCCUGAUCCAGCCAUGCCGCGUGUGUGAAGAAGGCCUUAUGGUUGUAAAGCACUUUAAGCGAGGAGGAGGCUCUUUUGGUUAAUACCCAAGAUGAGUGGACGUUACUCGCAGAAUAAGCACCGGCUAACUCUGUGCCAGCAGCCGCAGUAA
Molecule: ribosomal RNA, 503 nt
Filed under: uncultured bacterium
Lineage: Bacteria
Description: partial 16S ribosomal RNA
Rfam family: Bacterial small subunit ribosomal RNA
Source: RNAcentral